CACGUAGGGUGCGAGCGUUGUCCGGAAUUAUUGGGCGUAAAGAGCUCGUAGGCGGUGUGUCGCGUCGGCCGUGAAAACCUGCAGCUUAACUGUGGGCUUGCGGUCGAUACGGGCAUCACUGGAGUUCGGCAGGGGAGACUGGAAUUCCUGGUGUAGCGGUGAAAUGCGCAGAUAUCGGGAAGAACACCCGUGGCGAAGGCGGCACUCUGGGACGGUACUGACGCUGAGGAGCGAAAGCGUGGGGAGCAAACAGG
Molecule: ribosomal RNA, 254 nt
Filed under: uncultured bacterium
Lineage: Bacteria
Description: partial 16S ribosomal RNA
Rfam family: Bacterial small subunit ribosomal RNA
Source: RNAcentral